Puntigrus tetrazona (Sumatra barb) is the source of this 303-nucleotide long non-coding RNA. RefSeq lists it as uncharacterized. The transcript is spliced from 2 exons. The record is from RefSeq and is a predicted model, not a curated record. Lineage: Eukaryota; Metazoa; Chordata; Actinopteri; Cypriniformes; Cyprinidae.
UCUAAAGUCACCAAAGCUCUGGAUUAUAAAUGCAAAACGAUGUUGAAAUGGCAUGAAUGGAUGAUGAAGAGGGGCAAUCUUUGUUAAAGAAAUCUUGACGUCAUUUGAAAAUGUUAAACAUUUAAAUGCAGUUAUAAUUGGUUAUCUAGAACUUAUAAUUACUCCUCUUUUCACUGGCCAGUGUGUGGUAUGUUGUAUAAAAACACAAAUUCUGCAAUUAACUAAUUUUGUAGAGCAUGCAGUAUAAAAUGUGCCAUGUACUAUCUACUUAAUUAACAAUAUUAAAGGUAAUACUUGUCAGUA